UACGGAGGGAGCUAGCGUUGUUCGGAAUUACUGGGCGUAAAGCGCGCGUAGGCGGCUUUGUAAGUUAGAGGUGAAAGCCCGGGGCUCAACCCCGGAACUGCCUUUAAGACUGCAUCGCUUGAAUCCGGGAGAGGUGAGUGGAAUUCCACGUGUAGCAGUGAAAUGCGUAGAGAUGUGGAGGAAUACCGAUGGCGAAGGCAGCCUCCUGGGCCAACACUGACGCUCAUGCACGAAAGCGUGGGGAGCAAACAGG
RNAcentral lists this ribosomal RNA (253 nucleotides) under uncultured bacterium. Its description in RNAcentral is "partial 16S ribosomal RNA". It matches the Rfam family "Bacterial small subunit ribosomal RNA", at positions 524 to 776 of the family's 1533-position model. The record is from RNAcentral.